Molecule: microRNA precursor, 81 nt
Filed under: Octodon degus (degu)
Lineage: Eukaryota; Metazoa; Chordata; Mammalia; Rodentia; Octodontidae
Description: miRNA (ENSODEG00000021700.1)
Source: RNAcentral
GCCCUCGGGCGGACCUGGGCGGCCAGGGCGCGGGCGGGCGGGCGAGGGACCCGCUUCCUCCGCCCGGCCGGGUGUCGCUCG